ACGGGUGAGUAAUGCGUGGGAAUGUACCUUUUGGUUCGGAAUAACCACGGGAAACUGUGGGUAAUACCGGAUAAGCCCUGCGGGGGAAGAUUUAUCGCCGAAAGAGCAGCCCGCGUUAGAUUAGGUAGUUGGUAGGGUAAAGGCCUACCAAGCCUGCGAUCUAUAGCUGGUCUGAGAGGAUGAUCAGCCACACUGGGACUGAGACACGGCCCAGACUCCUACGGGAGGCAGCAGUGGGGAAUAUUGGACAAUGGGGGCAACCCUGAUCCAGCAAUGCCGCGUGAGUGAUGAAGGCCUUCGGGUUGUAAAGCUCUUUUGUCAGGGACGAUGAUGACGGUACCUGACGAAUAAGCUCCGGCUAACUUCGUGCCAGCAGCCGCGGUAAUACGAGGGGAGCUAGCGUUGUUCGGAAUUACUGGGCGUAAAGGGCGCGUAGGCGGUCCUAUAAGUCAGAUGUGAAAGCCCCGGGCUUAACCUGGGAGGUGCAUUUGAAACUGUAGAACUUGAGAUCGAGAGAGGAAAGUGGAAUUACGAGUGUAGAGGUGAAAUUCGUAGA
This 556-nucleotide ribosomal RNA is filed under the name uncultured bacterium. Its description in RNAcentral is "bacterial SSU rRNA". It matches the Rfam family "Bacterial small subunit ribosomal RNA", at positions 102 to 694 of the family's 1533-position model. The record is from RNAcentral.